GGGUGAAACCUUAAACCCUACAAUCAGCAACUUAACUUCAAACUUUAAACCCUCCUCUCACUGCCAACCGUCCAAGCCUCUCUCUCUCUCUCUCUCAGCUGAAUUUCGAGCGGGGAAGUUAUGGCGGUCGACAAGCACAAGCUCGAGAAAGAAGCGUGCGUUCUUCGAUUUUACAAAAUAGUGCUCAGUUGGGACUACAAUCGCAUAUUGGACGAAGCAGAGAAGCGGCAACGUCAACCGAGACGUGCUCAGGGAUUGAAAGAGGUUAAGAACACGUAUGCAGAUGUUGAUGAAUAUCUUGGGACAUUUGAGCCGCUGCUAUUUGAAGAAGUUAAAGCAAAUAUUGCUCAAAAAAAAGAUGAAGACGAAGAAAGAGUAUGCCAGGAAGCAAUGGUAGCAGAAUGCAGAGAAGUCAAUGAAUUUCAUUUGCCUAUGGUCAUUUGUUCUGACCCAGAGAAAGUAUCUGAAAAUGAUCUAUUAUUGGUUUCGAAUAAGAAGUUUGAAGGCAAAAUACCAAGUGCAUAUGCCUUUGCACUGGUUGAGCAUCGUCAACAAGAUAAGCUAAGACUUCGUCUGUAUUUGGGUGGUGAAGUCAAAAGAUAUAACACGGAUGAAAUUCAAAGUCGCCCAAGGCUAUUGAACAUGCUUCCUGUUGUUUGUGAAGUAAAGAAAAUGUUUUUUCUUGAGAAGAUUUGCAGUUUAUCAACUAUAGUCCGUGAAUAUGUUGCCCUGCAGUCCAUUAGCUAUCUCCCUUUCAAGGAUUUGAUCCUAAACGCAGCUGAAAUUGACAAUGUUACUGAAGAUCGUGCCUGGAAACUAUCUAAACCUUUGAAGGAGUUUAUUGAGAGCAAUCAUAAUAAAUCACAAUUAGAGGCUAUAUACGCAGGUCUUUCACGCAAGUCCUUCGUCUUGAUACAGGGCCCCCCAGGUACAGGAAAAACACAAACCAUUCUUGGGAUUCUAAGUGCCAUUUUGCAUGCUACUCCACCUAGGGUACACUCCAACGGAGGAAAACUGGUUGGAGUAAAACGUGGGCCGGAAUUGCCUAUUCAAGAAAAAUAUAAUCACUGGCAAAAAGCAUCUCCGUGGCUAACUGGAAUCAAUCCUCGAGAUAUGAUCAUGCCUGUAGAUGGAGACGAUGGAUUCUUCCCAACAUCUGGCAAUGAGAUGAAACCAGAAGUGGUCAAUUCAAGCAGAAAAUAUCGUGUUCGUGUUCUUGUAUGUGCUCCAUCAAAUUCUGCCCUUGAUGAAAUUGUCUCACGUAUCCUAAGUACUGGCAUUCGUGAUGAAACUGACCAUGCAUACAGCCCUAAGAUUGUGCGAGUAGGUCUUAAAGCCCACCACUCAGUCCAGGCAGUUUCCAUGGAUUACUUGGUAGAGCAAAAACUUGCGGGCGUGGAUACUCAAGUUGGUGACAAGCAAAAGCAAGGAGGUACAGCAAAGGACAAAGACAGUAUCCGUGCUUCCAUACUGGAUGAAGCAGUGAUUGUUUUCUCCACUCUGAGCUACAGCGGAUCAACUCUAUUUAGUAAAUUGAGUCGGAGUUUUGAUGUUGUCAUAAUUGAUGAAGCUGCUCAAGCUGUGGAGCCAGCUACACUUAUACCACUGGCCAAUGGAUGUAAACAAGUUUUCUUGGUGGGAGAUCCAGUUCAACUGCCAGCCACAGUAAUUUCUCCUGUUGCAGAAAAUUUUAAAUAUGGAAUGAGCUUAUUUAAAAGAUUCCAGGAGGCAGGCUAUCCUGUACAGAUGCUGAAGACCCAAUAUCGCAUGAAUCCAGAGAUUAGGAGCUUCCCUUCAAAGGAAUUUUAUGAAGAUUCAUUGGAGGAUGGACCUGAUGUUGAAGAUCAAACUAGGCGUUCAUGGCACAAUUUCUGUUGCUUUGGGCCAUUUUGUUUCUUUGAUUUACACGAAGGGAAGGAGUCCCAACCGUCGGGAAGUGGUUCUCAUGUAAAUGUUGAUGAAGUCGAGUUUAUCCUUGCUAUGUAUAGCAAAUUAAUUAGUAGCUAUCCAGAGCUUAAGGCAAGUUCUCGACUUGCUAUCAUAUCACCAUAUAGACAUCAAGUCAAGCUCUUCAGAGAGAAGUUCCGUAGCACCUUUGGUGUGCAGUCAGAUAAACUUGUCGAUAUCAACACCGUUGAUGGGUUUCAGGGACGGGAAAAGGAUGUUGCGAUCUUUUCUUGUGUUAGAGCAAAUGAAUCUAAAGCCAUUGGUUUUGUUAAAGAUUUUAGACGAAUGAAUGUUGGCAUUACUCGCGCAAGGUCUUCUGUUCUGGUCGUGGGUUCUGCAUCAACAUUAAGAGGAGAUGACCACUGGAAGAAUCUGAUUGAAAGCGCAGAGAAGAGAAAUGUAUUAUUCAAGGUAUCCAAGCCUUAUGCCGACUUCUUCAGCGAGGCUAGCCUUGAUUCCAUGAAAGCACAGGUGGCCGAGCCCGAGUCCCCGACAGCUCCCAUGGACGAAGAUAUGGAUAUCGCAGUGCCCAUCAAUAUUGAUGGUGGCGUUGAUCCCGGACAAGCUGAAGAUGAUGGCUGGGGAGGAGACGAUGGCGAAGACGCCUAUGAUGGAGACGCAGGUGAUCAACCAUGGGGUUCCGGCGAGCUUGAUGGAGGAGACGAUGAAGGCGAUGAAGGGAUUCUUUGCGACGUCGCCGGAGCACAAGUCCAGCUUCUACUCCACAGACAUGACAAAGAAAUGCAGACUCUACUCUAGCACCUUGAACUACCAAUCCGAAGACGUCCAUUAUUGGAGAGAUAAUCUCACUCACCAUUGUCAUCCUCUCCAACAUCACAUUCACCUGUGGCCACAAAAUCCUUCCAAUUAUAGAGAAGUUGUUGGGGAAUAUUCAAUUGAGACAAAGAAGCUGAUGCUGAGGAUUCUAGAAGCGAUAUCGGAAGGGCUAGGGCUGAAACCUAAAUAUUUAGACGGCGAGAUUAUCAAGAGUCAAGUGCUAUCAGUGAAUCAU
This is an RNA transcript of Salvia miltiorrhiza (redroot sage), 2959 nucleotides long. It is a transcript of the gene named probable helicase MAGATAMA 3, with no coding region annotated. The record is from RefSeq and is a predicted model, not a curated record. Lineage: Eukaryota; Viridiplantae; Streptophyta; Magnoliopsida; Lamiales; Lamiaceae. The transcript is spliced from 22 exons.